GUGCCAGCCGCCGCGGUAAUACGUAGGGGGCGAGCGUUAUCCGGAUUUACUGGGUGUAAAGCGCGUGCAGGCGGUUCGGAAAGUUGGAUGUGAAAGCUCCCGGCUUAACUGGGAGAGGGCGUUCAAAACUACCGGUCUUGAGUACCGCAGAGGGAAGUGGAAUUCCGGGUGUAGUGGUGAAAUGCGUAGAUAUCCGGAGGAACACCAGUGGCGAAAGCGGCUUCCUGGACUGGAACUGACGC
Molecule: ribosomal RNA, 242 nt
Filed under: uncultured bacterium
Lineage: Bacteria
Description: partial 16S rRNA
Rfam family: Bacterial small subunit ribosomal RNA
Source: RNAcentral